GAGCAGUGUUACGUUAUUUAUUUUAGAAUUUGUACGCUCUGUUGUCAUGACCGAUUUCACAGAGCGUACCGAUUCUUUGAUAAGUGUCGUCAACAAUUGGCAACGAAUCG
This 110-nucleotide microRNA precursor is filed under the name Dinoponera quadriceps. RNAcentral's name for it is "microRNA dqu-mir-927b precursor". Its record names the gene dqu-mir-927b. The record is from miRBase by way of RNAcentral. Lineage: Eukaryota; Metazoa; Arthropoda; Insecta; Hymenoptera; Formicidae.